GCUGAAUCAACUCAUUGGAGAGUUUGAUCCUGGCUCAGGACGAACGCUGGCGGCGUGCUUAACACAUGCAAGUCAAGGGGGCCCGCAAGGGCAACCGGC
RNAcentral lists this ribosomal RNA (99 nucleotides) under Gemmatimonadaceae bacterium. Its description in RNAcentral is "partial 16S ribosomal RNA". The stretch from base 12 to 99 matches the Rfam family "Bacterial small subunit ribosomal RNA", at positions 1 to 99 of the family's 1533-position model. Lineage: Bacteria; Pseudomonadati; Gemmatimonadota; Gemmatimonadia; Gemmatimonadales; Gemmatimonadaceae. The record is from RNAcentral.